This 556-nucleotide long non-coding RNA is filed under the name Homo sapiens (human). Its description in RNAcentral is "non-protein coding SNAP25-AS1:5". Lineage: Eukaryota; Metazoa; Chordata; Mammalia; Primates; Hominidae. The record is from RNAcentral.
AGUUGACGUGGAGCAGGCGGCAUAAAUCAAGUCCGCGGGGCAUGGAGGCUGCUGUCGCUGCAGCAGCUCAGCUUGCCCGGGGCGGGAACUCCCCCUUUCUCCUUUCGCCUCCCCAGCACCCACACCCUGUCUCCCCCUUAAUUCUUCCCUGGAUAAUAGCACCCUAACGACAACAGUCAUAAUAAUAGGGUUAGAACGACAGGGGAGGAAAACUCAACAGCCUAAAUAUCUCUGAAAACUGCAUCGCAAAAUGGAAGAAAGAGGGGGUCCCACUACUGUUUCAAAAGAGUAAGUUAUUAUUCGGAUCGACAGAACUUGACUUAGAAAGCUGGCACACAGCUUCACGGAAGCAGCUUCUAGAGGAAUGCUAUCCAACAUAACUUUCUGUGAUGACAGAAAUGUACUACAGCUGCCUUGUCCAAUAAGGAGCCAUGGAAGUCAAAUGCUGAGGAUGGUGGCAUCAUAGGAUGAAUGGAGCUGGGUUCUUGAAACACUGCCUGGAGGAAAGACAGCAAAAAUGCCUCAUGAAUCCAACUGGACUGUUAGGAUGCUCACC